ACAAUUCAAAGAUCAUGUAAACUGAUUGUAAAUUCAAAUCAUCUUAUUCAUUAGGGCUUCUUAUACUCGCUGAAACAGUAUGGUAAUGGAGCUUAAACAUAGUGACUUAAUAAUAAAUAUCAUAUUAAAGCUUUAACUUCAUACUGAAAAAGGAAUGCCGUGAGCACCGGGAAAUCCAGUCAAUGUCAAGUCAAUUGAAACGUUAUCGAUU
Schizosaccharomyces pombe (fission yeast) is the source of this 211-nucleotide non-coding RNA. NCBI's taxonomy places the organism in Eukaryota, Fungi, Ascomycota, Schizosaccharomycetes, Schizosaccharomycetales, Schizosaccharomycetaceae. The record is from the annotation of a GenBank genome assembly.